RNAcentral lists this unclassified non-coding RNA (349 nucleotides) under Hevea brasiliensis (rubber tree). The record is from RNAcentral. Lineage: Eukaryota; Viridiplantae; Streptophyta; Magnoliopsida; Malpighiales; Euphorbiaceae.
AAUUGGUGUCCUGUAAGUUCUCCUAAAGUCUUUAUGCUGACUCUUCUACUCCUGUCACUUGUUAACACUACCCUUAAAAAAAAGAGAACAGGAAAAGAAAGGCUGCAAUAAACUUGAUCAGGUACAGAAAUUAUUGCUACUAUACUUCACUACAAAGCUUGUCUAUACAGUAUCAUAUGACCUUUGAUUAUGAAAAAAUCAGAAUAAAAAUCUUUAGUGACAUAAGCCUUACAAUCGUAUACAACAUUCACAUGGCAAUAUUAGACAGUUAAGCACCCAAUACCCAUAGUUGACAAAAUGUCCCACUGACCAGCAUUCAUUUAAAUACAUCCUUCGUACAGAGGGAGGA